Molecule: ribosomal RNA, 120 nt
Filed under: Streptomyces sparsogenes subsp. cuspidosporus
Lineage: Bacteria; Bacillati; Actinomycetota; Actinomycetes; Kitasatosporales; Streptomycetaceae
Also listed under: 1 other name
Description: Streptomyces cuspidosporus partial 16S rRNA
Rfam family: Bacterial small subunit ribosomal RNA
Source: RNAcentral
UCUAAUACCGGAUAUUACCUGGUGAGGCAUCUUACCGGGUGGAAAGCUCCGGCGGUGCAGGAUGAGCCCGCGGCCUAUCAGCUUGUUGGUGGGGUGAUGGCCUACCAAGGCGACGACGGG